Molecule: ribosomal RNA, 460 nt
Filed under: Alfaro cultratus
Lineage: Eukaryota; Metazoa; Chordata; Actinopteri; Cyprinodontiformes; Poeciliidae
Description: partial 12S ribosomal RNA
Rfam family: Bacterial small subunit ribosomal RNA
Source: RNAcentral
GGGAACUACGAGCAUAAGCUUAAAACCCAAAAGACUUGGCGGUGCUUUAAAACCCCCUAGAGGAGCCUGUUCUAGAACCGAUAACCCCCGUUCGACCUCACCUUUUCUUGUUUCUCCCGUCUAUAUACCGCCGCCGUCAGCCUACCCUGUGAAGGAACCGUAGUAAGCAAAACUGGUACCACCCAAAACGUCAGGUCAAGGUGUAGCCUACGAAAAGGAAAGAAAUGGGCUACAUUUCCUCUUUUAGGAAAUACGAACUGUGUUCUGAAAAAGCACAUGAAGGAGGAUUUAGUAGUAAGCAGAAAGCAGAGCGUUCCGCUGAACCCGGCCCUGAAGCGCGCACACACCGCCCGUCACUCUCCCCCCGGCCCAACACACCUAUACUUAAAUAAGCCCUCCAGGGCAAAGGGGAGGCAAGUCGUAACAUGGUAAGUGUACCGGAAGGUGCACUUGGAAAAAC